This 253-nucleotide ribosomal RNA is filed under the name uncultured bacterium. RNAcentral's name for it is "partial 16S ribosomal RNA". It matches the Rfam family "Bacterial small subunit ribosomal RNA", at positions 524 to 776 of the family's 1533-position model. The record is from RNAcentral.
UACGUAGGGUGCGAGCGUUGUCCGGAAUUACUGGGCGUAAAGAGCUCGUAGGUGGUUUGUCGCGUUGUUCGUGAAAACCUGAGGCUUAACCUUGGGCGUGCGGGCGAUACGGGCAGACUGGAGUACUGCAGGGGAGACUGGAAUUCCUGGUGUAGCGGUGGAAUGCGCAGAUAUCAGGAGGAACACCGGUGGCGAAGGCGGGACUCUGGGCCGAUACUGACGCUGAGGAGCGAAAGCGUGGGGAGCAAACAGG